AGGGGGUUGCUCGGAUUACUGGGCGUAAGGGUUCGUAGGUGGUGCGGUAAGUUGGAAGUGAAAUCUCUGGGCUUAACCCAGAGGCUGCUUUCAAAACUGUCGCGCUCGAGUGCGAGAGAGGUCAGUGGAAUUGCAGGUGUAGCGGUGAAAUGCGUAGAUAUCUGCAGGAACACCCGUGGCGAAGGCGGCUGACUGGAUCGCAACUGACACUGAGGAACGAAAGCUAGGGGAGCAAACAGGAUUAGAUACCCUGGUAGUCCUAGCCCUAAACCAUCGGAACUUGGGGUGGCCCGCGUAGGCGGGUCGUCCCGUAGCUAACGCGUUAAGUUCCGCGCCUGGGGAGUACGGUCGCAAGACUGAAACUCAAAGGAAUUGACGGGGGCCCGCACAAGCGGUGGAACAUGUGGUUCAAUUCGACGCAACGCGAAGAACCUUACCUGGGCUUGAACCGCUACUGACCAACGGUAGAAAUAUCGUCUUCCCGCAAGGGACAGUAGUAGAGGUGCUGCAUGGCUGUCGUCAGCUCGUGCCGUGAGGUGUUGGGUUAAGUCCCGCAACGAGCGCAACCCUUACUCGUAGUUGCUACCCGCAAGGGAGAACUCUACGAGGACUGCUCCGGAUAACGGAGAGGAAGGUGGGGAUGACGUCAAGUCAGCACGGCCUUUAUGUCCAGGGCUACACACGUGUUACAAUGCAUGGUACAGACUGUUGCGAACCCGCGAGGGGGAGCUAAUCGGAUAAAGCCAUGCUCAGUUCGGAUUGCAGUCUGCAACUCGACUGCAUGAAGCUGGAAUCGCUAGUAAUGCCGUAUCAGAUCGACGGCGUGAAUACGUUCCCGGGCCUUGUACACACCGCCCGUCACAUCACGAAAGUGAGCUGUACUAGAAGUCGCCGAGCCAACCGUAAAGGAGGCCAGCGCCCAAGGUAUGGCCCAUGAUUGGGGUGAAGUCGUAACAAGGUAACC
RNAcentral lists this ribosomal RNA (964 nucleotides) under uncultured bacterium. Its description in RNAcentral is "bacterial SSU rRNA". It matches the Rfam family "Bacterial small subunit ribosomal RNA", at positions 535 to 1501 of the family's 1533-position model. The record is from RNAcentral.